GUUUGCUGCAGCAUUAUUUAGCAAACCUCAUAGAUAUAAGGAAGCUUAGGCCCGGUUUAGACGGCGAACUUUUCAUGCGCCGAAUCUAAUUGUCGUAGAUACGGCAAAAUAUCGGAAGCUGAUUUAGACGUCGAACUUAAUUGUACCGUACCAAAUUGCGAGGACACUAUAUUGGACAUAUUUACAAUGCAAAUAUAUGAUAAUCAUAUUAUGAUGUUAAAAAAUAAUUAUGCAUUAGGUUCGGCGCAUGAAAAGCACGGCGUCUAAAUCAAUGUCGAACCUGUGUCAUAUACGACUUGUCUUGUCGCAUCUUCGAGUCAUGUCGAACUUAAUCAAAACCUGUCGAACUUAACUGAUUUAGACGCCGCUCCAGCGUCGCACUUAAUUCUUGCAUUAGAUUCGGCGCAUGAGAAGUUCGCCGUCUAAACCGGGCCU
Molecule: non-coding RNA, 435 nt
Organism: Paramuricea clavata
Lineage: Eukaryota; Metazoa; Cnidaria; Anthozoa; Malacalcyonacea; Plexauridae
Source: the annotation of a GenBank genome assembly